GCUUAAGUAGUUUAUUUAGAAUUUCAAUUUGUGGAGUUGAGGGUAUUAUUUAUAAUCUUAGGCU
RNAcentral lists this transfer RNA (64 nucleotides) under Antilochus russus. Its description in RNAcentral is "tRNA-His". The record is from RNAcentral. Lineage: Eukaryota; Metazoa; Arthropoda; Insecta; Hemiptera; Pyrrhocoridae.